This 430-nucleotide ribosomal RNA is filed under the name uncultured bacterium. RNAcentral's name for it is "bacterial SSU rRNA". It matches the Rfam family "Bacterial small subunit ribosomal RNA", at positions 354 to 796 of the family's 1533-position model. The record is from RNAcentral.
GUGGGGAAUCUUGCGCAAUGGGCGAAAGCCUGACGCAGCGACGCCGCGUGAGGGACGAAGGCCCUCGGGUUGUAAACCUCUUUCGGCAGGGACGAAGCGAUCGUGACGGUACCUGCAGAAGAAGCCCCGGCUAACUACGUGCCAGCAGCCGCGGUAAGACGUAGGGGGCGAGCGUUGUCCGGAUUCAUUGGGCGUAAAGAGCGCGCAGGCGGUUCGGAAAGUCGGAUGUGAAAACCCGGAGCUCAACUCCGGGCGUGCAUCCGAAACUCCCGGACUAGAGGUAGGUAGGGGAGAUCGGAAUUCCUGGUGUAGCGGUGGAAUGCGCAGAUAUCAGGAGGAACACCGGUGGCGAAGGCGGAUCUCUGGGCCUUACCUGACGCUCAGGCGCGAAAGCUAGGGGAGCGAACAGGAUUAGAUACCCCAGUAGUCC